GGUACUUACAGGUGGGUUAUGUAGUACACACACACACACACACACACACAAGCACACGGUACUUACAGGUGGGUUAUGUAGUACACACACACACACAAGCACACGGUACUUACAGGUGGGUUAUGUAGUACACAUACACAUAUACACACACACAAGCACACGGUACUUACAGGUGGGUUAUGUAGUACACACACACACACACAUAAGCACACGGUACUUACAGGUGGGUUAUGUAGUACACACACACACACACAUAAGCACACGGUACUUACAGGUGGGUUAUGUAGUACACACACACACACA
Non-coding RNA from Oryctolagus cuniculus (rabbit), 303 nucleotides. NCBI's taxonomy places the organism in Eukaryota, Metazoa, Chordata, Mammalia, Lagomorpha, Leporidae. The record is from RefSeq and is a predicted model, not a curated record.